GACUAAGCGUAUACGGUGGAUGCCUUGGCAGUCAGAGGCGAUGAAGGACGUAGUAACUUGCGAAAAGCGUUGGCGAGCUAGUAACAAGCAUUUGAGCUAACGAUGUCCGAAUGGGGGAACCCAGCAGCAUAAGCUGUUAUCGCAACAUGAAUACAUAGUGUUGCGAGGCGAACGAGGGGAACUGAAACAUCUAAGUACCCUUAGGAAAAGAAAUCAACCGAGAUUCCCCUAGUAGCGGCGAGCGAACGGGGAUUAGCCCUUAAGUCAGUGGGGUGUUAGUGGAAUGUGUUGGAAAGCACAGCGGCACAGGGUGAUAGCCCCGUACAUGAAAACUAACCAUUGAUGAAAACGAGUAAGGCGGGACACGUGACAUCCUGUUUGAAUAUGGGGGGACCAUCCUCCAAGGCUAAAUACUCCUGACUGACCGAUAGUGAACCAGUACCGUGAGGGAAAGGCGAAAAGAACCCCUGUGAGGGGAGUGAAAUAGAACCUGAAACCGUAUACGUACAAGCAGUGGGAGCGGUUCUUGAGACCGUGACUGCGUACCUUUUGUAUAAUGGGUCAGCGACUUACAUUUUGUAGCGAGGUUAAGCGAAUAGCGGAGCCGUAGGGAAACCGAGUGUUAACUGCGCGUUUAGUUGCAAGGUGUAGACCCGAAACCCGGUGAUCUAGCCAUGGGCAGGUUGAAGGUUGAGUAACAUCAACUGGAGGACCGAACCGACUAAUGUUGAAAAAUUAGCGGAUGACUUGUGGCUGGGGGUGAAAGGCCAAUCAAACCGGGAGAUAUCUGGUUCUCCUCGAAAGCUAUUUAGGUAGCGCCUCGAGCGAAUACCAUUGGGGGUAGAGCACUGUUAAGGCUAGGGGGUCAUCCCGACUUACCAACCCUUUGCAAACUCCGAAUACCAAUGAGUACUACUCGGGAGACAGACGGCGGGUGCUAACGUCCGUCGUCAAAAGGGAAACAACCCAGACCGUCAGCUAAGGUCCCAAAGUACUAGCUAAGUGGGAAACGAUGUGGGAAGGCUUAGACAGCUAGGAUGUUGGCUUAGAAGCAGCCAUCAUUUAAAGAAAGCGUAAUAGCUCACUAGUCGAGUCGGCCUGCGCGGAAGAUGUAACGGGGCUAAGCUAGUCACCGAAGCUACGGGUGCACAGUUUACUGUGCGCGGUAGAGGAGCGUUCUGUAAGCCGUUGAAGGUGAAGGGGUAACCCACGCUGGAGGUAUCAGAAGUGCGAAUGCUGACAUGAGUAACGAUAAAGGGGGUGAAAAACCCCCUCGCCGAAAGACCAAGGGUUCCUGUCCAACGUUAAUCGGGGCAGGGUGAGUCGACCCCUAAGGUGAGGCCGAAAGGCGUAAUCGAUGGGAAACAGAUUAAUAUUUCUGUACUUCCGCUAACUGCGAUGGAGAGACGGAGAAGGCUAGGCUAGCGCGGCGUUGGUAGUCCGCGUUUAAGGUGGUAGGUGGUGUUCUUAGGCAAAUCCGGGGACACGUACUUUAAUGUACACACUGAGAGCUGAUGACGAGGUCCUAAGGGACUGAAGUAGUUGAUGCCAUGCUUCCAGGAAAAUCUUCUAAGCUUCAGGUUAG
Molecule: ribosomal RNA, 1585 nt
Filed under: Shewanella septentrionalis
Lineage: Bacteria; Pseudomonadati; Pseudomonadota; Gammaproteobacteria; Alteromonadales; Shewanellaceae
Description: partial 23S ribosomal RNA
Rfam family: Bacterial large subunit ribosomal RNA
Source: RNAcentral